AAUUUAACCAAACUUGGCCAUAAUCAUCAUUGGGGUAUCUAGUUUAAAAAAUGUGUCCAGUGCCCCGCCAAACCAACCAAGAUGGCCGCCAUGGCUAAAAAUAGAACAUAGGGAUAAAAUGCAGUUUUUGGCUUAUAACUCAAAAACCAAAGCAUUUAGAGCAAAUCUGACACGAGUAAAAUUGUUCAUCAGGUCAAGAUCUAUUUGCCCUGAAAUUUUAGAUUAAUUGGACAUUCUGUUGUUGGGUUGCUGCUCCCUGAAAUGGUAAUUUUAAGGAAAUUUUGCUGUUUUUGGUUAUUAUCUUGAAUAUUAUUAUAGAUAGAGAUAAACUGUAAACAGCAAUAUUGUUCAGCAAAGUAAGAUCUACAAAUAAGUCAACAUGACCAAAAUGGUCAGUUGACCACUUUAGGAGUUAUUGCCCUUUAUAGUCAAGUUUUAACCAUUUUUCGUAAAUCUUAGUAAUCUUUUAGAAAAAUCUUCUCCUCUGAAACUACUGGGCCAAUUUAACCAAACUUGGCCAUAAUCAUCAUUGGGGUAUCUAGUUAAAAAAAUUUGUCCGGUAACUCGGCCAACAAACCAAGAUGGCCUCCAUGGCUAAAAAUAGAACAUGGGGGUAAAAUGCAGUUUUUGGCUUAUAACUCAAAAACCAAAGCAUUAAGAGCAAAUCUGACAGGAUGUAAAAUUGUUGAUCAGGUCAGGAUCUAUCUGCCCUGGAAUUUUCAGAUGAAUUGGAUAAUCGGUUGUUAGGUUGCUGCCCCUGAAUUGGUAAUUUUGAGGAAAUUUUGCUGUUUUUUUGUUAUUAUCUUGAAUAUUAUUAUAGAUAGAGAUAAACUGUAAACAGCAAUAAUGUACAGCAAAGUAAGAACUAAAAAUAAGUCAGUAUGACCAAAAUAGUCAAUUGACCCCCUAAGGAGUUAUUGCCCUUCAUAGUCAAUUUUUAACAAUUUUCUUAAAAUUUGAAGAUUUUCAAUAACAAUUACCACAGAAAGUACUGUUAGAGAUAGAGAUAAUUGUAAGCAGCAAGAAUGUUUAGUAAAGUAAGAUCUACAAACACAUCACCAUCACCAAAACACAAUUUUGUCAUGAAUCCAUCUGUGUCCAUUGUUUAAUAUUCACAUAGACCAAGGUGAGCGACACAGGCUCUUUAGAGCCUCUAGUUUUAAUGUGGAAAAAUUAAG
This 1178-nucleotide long non-coding RNA is filed under the name Mytilus galloprovincialis (Mediterranean mussel). Lineage: Eukaryota; Metazoa; Mollusca; Bivalvia; Mytilida; Mytilidae. The record is from RNAcentral.